UGGGGAAUAUUGCACAAUGGGCGCAAGCCUGAUGCAGCAACGCCGCGUGCGGGAUGAAGGCCUUCGGGUUGUAAACCGCUUUCAGCAGGGACGAGGCCUUAUGGUGACGGUACCUGCAGAAGAAGCUCCGGCUAAAUACGUGCCAGCAGCCGCGGUAAUACGUAUGGAGCAAGCGUUAUCCGGAUUCAUUGGGCGUAAAGCGCUCGUAGGCGGUCUGUUAGGUCGGCAAGUUAAAUCCGGGGGCUCAACCCCCGUCCGCUUCCGAUACCGGCAGACUUGAGUUUGGUAGGGGAAGGUGGAAUUCCUAGUGUAGCGGUGGAAUGCGCAGAUAUUAGGAAGAACACCGGUGGCGAAGGCGGCCUUCUGGGCCAUAACUGACGCUGAGGAGCGAAAGCUAGGGGAGCGAACAGG
This 411-nucleotide ribosomal RNA is filed under the name Verrucomicrobiota bacterium. Its description in RNAcentral is "Verrucomicrobia bacterium partial 16S ribosomal RNA". It matches the Rfam family "Bacterial small subunit ribosomal RNA", at positions 355 to 776 of the family's 1533-position model. Lineage: Bacteria; Pseudomonadati; Verrucomicrobiota. The record is from RNAcentral.